Molecule: ribosomal RNA, 517 nt
Filed under: uncultured Gemmatimonas sp.
Lineage: Bacteria; Pseudomonadati; Gemmatimonadota; Gemmatimonadia; Gemmatimonadales; Gemmatimonadaceae
Description: bacterial SSU rRNA
Rfam family: Bacterial small subunit ribosomal RNA
Source: RNAcentral
UAAUACGGAGGGUGCGAGCGUUGUCCGGAAUCACUGGGCGUAAAGGGCGCGUAGGCGGUCUGCUAAGCGUGCGGUGAAAGCCCGGGGCUCAACCCCGGGUCGGCCGUGCGAACUGGUGGACUAGAGCACUGUAGAGGCAGGUGGAAUUUCGGGUGUAGCGGUGGAAUGCGUAGAGAUCCGAAAGAACACCAGUGGCGAAGGCGGCCUGCUGGGCAUCAGCUGACACUGAGGCGCGACAGCGUGGGGAGCAAACAGGAUUAGAUACCCUGGUAGUCCACGCCGUAAACGAUGGGUAAUAGGUGUCUGGGGGAGCGACCCCCUGGGUGCCGGCGCUAACGCAUGAAGUACCCCGCCUGGGGAGUACGGCCGCAAGGCUGAAACUCAAAGGAAUUGACGGGGGCCCGCACAAGCGGUGGAGCAUGUGGUUUAAUUCGACGCAACGCGAAGAACCUUACCUGGGCUUGACAUGCUGGAGAAAGCUUGCGGAAACGUGAGCCCCUCUUCGGAGUUCCAGCAC